Molecule: ribosomal RNA, 468 nt
Filed under: uncultured bacterium
Lineage: Bacteria
Description: partial 16S ribosomal RNA
Rfam family: Bacterial small subunit ribosomal RNA
Source: RNAcentral
GACGAACGCUGGCGGCGUGCUUAACACAUGCAAGUCGAACGGAAAGGCCCUGCUCUUGUGGGGUGGUCGAGUGGCGAACGGGUGAGGAACACGCGAGUAAACCGCCCCUGACUUUGGGGUAAAUUUAGGGAACUGGGGCGAAAACCCGAGAGGAGCUCCUGCUGCAUGGUGGGGGUUGGAAAGAUUCGGCGGUUGGGGCUGGACUCGCGGCUUAUCCGCUUGUUGGUGGGGUAGUGGCUUACCAAGGCUUUGACGGGUAGCCGGCCUGAGAGGGUGACCGGCCACAUUGGGACUGAGAUACGGCCCAGACUCCUACGGGAGGCAGCAGUGGGGAAUAUUGCACAAUGGGCGGAAGCCUGAUGCAGCAACGCCGCGUGCGGGAUGACGGCCUUCGGGUUGUAAACCGCUUUCGCCUGUGACGAAGCGUGAGUGACGGUAAUGGGUAAAGAAGCACCGGCUAACUACGUG